AUUGAACGCUGGCGGCAUGCUUUACACAUGCAAGUCGAACGGUAACAGGGUGCUUGCACCGCUGACGAGUGGCGAACGGGUGAGUAAUGCGUCGGAACGUGCCGAGUAGUGGGGGAUAACGCAGCGAAAGUUGUGCUAAUACCGCAUACGUACUGAGGUAGAAAGUGGGGGACCUUCGGGCCUCACGCUAUUCGAGCGGCCGACGUCUGAUUAGCUAGUAGGUGAGGUAAAGGCUCACCUAGGCGACGAUCAGUAGCGGGUCUGAGAGGAUGAUCCGCCACACUGGGACUGAGACACGGCCCAGACUCCUACGGGAGGCAGAAGUGGGGAAUUUUGGACAAUGGGCGAAAGCCUGAUCCAGCCAUGCCGCGUGUCUGAAGAAGGCCUUCGGGUUGUAAAGGACUUUUGUCAGGGAGGAAAUCCCUAGUGCUAAUAACACUGGGGGAUGACAGUACCUGAAGAAUAAGCACCGGCUAACUACGUGCCAGCAGCCGCCGUAA
RNAcentral lists this ribosomal RNA (500 nucleotides) under uncultured bacterium. Its description in RNAcentral is "partial 16S ribosomal RNA". It matches the Rfam family "Bacterial small subunit ribosomal RNA", at positions 30 to 523 of the family's 1533-position model. The record is from RNAcentral.